Molecule: microRNA precursor, 60 nt
Filed under: Ornithorhynchus anatinus (platypus)
Lineage: Eukaryota; Metazoa; Chordata; Mammalia; Monotremata; Ornithorhynchidae
Description: Oan-Mir-430-P60_pre stem-loop
Source: RNAcentral
AUCCGGCCUGGGAGCACUCUCUAGUGAUAUACAUGGGGAAAUUGCCACCAGGUCAGAUGG